This 525-nucleotide ribosomal RNA is filed under the name uncultured Glomeromycotina. Its description in RNAcentral is "SSU rRNA". It matches the Rfam family "Eukaryotic small subunit ribosomal RNA", at positions 570 to 1094 of the family's 1831-position model. The record is from RNAcentral. Lineage: Eukaryota; Fungi; Glomeromycota.
GCAGCCGCGGUAAUUCCAGCUCCAAUAGCGUAUAUUAAAGUUGUUGCAGUUAAAAAGCUCGUAGUUGAAUUUCGGAAUUUGUCGGUUGGUCGGGCUUCACUGUCCGCACUGACCUGAUGGAUUCCUACCUUCUGAAUAACCAGCAUGCUAUUAAGUUAGUGCGUUGGGGAAGCAGAGCUAUUACCUUGAAAAAAUUAGAGUGCUUAAAGCAGGCUUGUGCUUGAAUAGAUUAGCAUGGAAUAAUAAAAUAGGACGGCAUGGUUCUAUUUUGUUGGUUUCUAGGAUCACCGUAAUGAUUAAUAGGGAUAGUUGGGGGCAUUAGUAUUCAAUUGUCAGAGGUGAAAUUCUUGGAUUUAUUGAAGACUAACUUCUGCGAAAGCAUUUGCCAAGGAUGUUUUCAUUAAUCAAGAACGAAAGUUAGGGGAUCGAAGACGAUCAGAUACCGUCGUAGUCUUAACCAUAAACUAUGCCGACUAGGGAUCGGACGAUGUUAAUUUUUUAAUGACUCGUUCGGCGCCUUACGGG